RNAcentral lists this ribosomal RNA (292 nucleotides) under uncultured bacterium. Its description in RNAcentral is "partial 16S ribosomal RNA". It matches the Rfam family "Bacterial small subunit ribosomal RNA", at positions 505 to 796 of the family's 1533-position model. The record is from RNAcentral.
GUGUCAGCCGCCGCGGUAAUACGUAGGAUCCGAGCGUUGUCCGGAAUUACUGGGUGUAAAGGGCGUGUAGGUGGGUCUUUAAGUCGGUGGUGAAAUCUUGCAGCUUAACUGCAAAACUGCCGUCGAUACUGGAGAUCUUGAGUACGGCAGAGGGAGAUGGAAUUCAUGGUGUAGCGGUGAAAUGUGUAGAUAUCAUGAAGAACACCGGUAGCGAAGGCGGUCUCCUGGUCCGUGACUGACACUGAGGCGCGAAAGCGUGGGGAGCAAACAGGAUUAGAUACCCUCGUAGUCC